GUGGCCAAGAGCCUCUAGUACGCCUGCGCUUGCCCCCAUGGCCUGCCGGGAGUUGGAGUUCUACUCCCGCGUACAAAAGCCAGGCAGCGGCCAAGAGCCAAGGAGGGAAAAGAACAAAAGAGUUAGAAGCCUGCAGGGCGGGGGCGGGGUGGCGCCCAGGACAACUCUCCCGGGCUCAGCUUGGCUGCCUGCCUCCUUCUGUAAGUGCUUUUUUCUUUCUUCACCUGGGACCCUCCAAAGGUUGGAAAGAGAAGAGAGGCUGGGAGCGGAUGGAAAGCAUGACUGCAUCUGAAGCCCCUGGGGGGAGUGGGGAAGAGGGAGUGGAAGGACAGUGGCUGAGGGGCUUCCUGUUGCAGCCUUCAGCUGGACUCAGGGUUGGGGUCACUGGAGGAGGAGGUGGCUUCCUGCUCCAUUGUUCAGGACUGCAGUGUUUCUUGGGAAUACUUACUGUAUGUGGGUUUUCAGUAACCAACUUGGAAAUCUGUAUUCGUUCCCAUGAUUCAGCAAACAAUGAAUACCUACUGUGUGCAAAGGCAGCAGUACAGCCUGUCAUCACUGGGCAAGAGGCCAGAAGAGCCAUUUGGUCAGGGUCUCCAAUUUAGGCUCUCAACAUUAUCUCUAAAUAAGGUUAGACAUGAUGUUGGAUCCACUGGCCGAUGUGAUCAAAGACCCUCCUUGUAUAUCCUUAAAGCUAUACUCUGUUAUCAGGCCACUGUGCCUGUGGAGCACUGUAAGUUCUUAUAUUUUAAUAAAUCUUAUAAUUAUCUUGUGAGCAGCACAAUUGUCAUAGUUUUUUGUAUCAAAAACAUGAACUUGCUAAACAUUUUAAAA
Long non-coding RNA from Cebus imitator (Panamanian white-faced capuchin), 831 nucleotides. RefSeq lists it as uncharacterized. The record is from RefSeq and is a predicted model, not a curated record. NCBI's taxonomy places the organism in Eukaryota, Metazoa, Chordata, Mammalia, Primates, Cebidae. The transcript is spliced from 2 exons.